This 195-nucleotide ribosomal RNA is filed under the name uncultured bacterium. Its description in RNAcentral is "partial 16S ribosomal RNA". It matches the Rfam family "Bacterial small subunit ribosomal RNA", at positions 338 to 524 of the family's 1533-position model. The record is from RNAcentral.
CCUACGGGAGGCAGCAGUCGGGAAUUUUGGGCAAUGGGCGAAAGCCUGACCCAGCAACGCCGCGUGGAGGAUGAAGGCCCUCGGGUCGUAAACCUCUGUCGGGAGGGAAGAACGGUUGCCGUUCGAACAGGGCGGCAGCCUGACGGUACCUCCAAAGGAAGCACCGGCUAACUACGUGCCAACAGCCGCGGUAAU